This 428-nucleotide ribosomal RNA is filed under the name Flavalona costata. RNAcentral's name for it is "partial large subunit ribosomal RNA". It matches the Rfam family "Bacterial large subunit ribosomal RNA", at positions 1956 to 2606 of the family's 2925-position model. The record is from RNAcentral. Lineage: Eukaryota; Metazoa; Arthropoda; Branchiopoda; Diplostraca; Chydoridae.
GUAGCAUAAUCAUUUGUCUUUUAAUUGAAGGCUGGAAUGAAGGGCGUCACGAGAGACUAGCUGUCUCAGCUUAAUUUUUUGAACUUAUCUUAUUGGUGCAAAGACCAAUAUAGUCUCAUUGGACGAUCAGACCCUAUGGAGCUUGAAUGGUUAAAAUUAUUUAAAAUUAAAAUUUUAAUAAGUUUAAACACUUUGGUUGGGGCGACAAAGAGUAAAAUCAACACUCUUUUUAUAAAACAAACAUAAAUGAAUAUUUGACCCUUAGUGAAAGAUUAAAAGACUUAGUUACCCUAGGGAUAACAGCGUUAUUUUUCUGGAGAGUUCAUAUCGAUAGAAAAGUUUGCGACCUCGAUGUUGGAUCAAAGAAUCAGUAAGGGGUAGAUUUUUUACUGGAGGGUCUGUUCGACCUUUAAAUCUUUACGUGAUCU